RNAcentral lists this long non-coding RNA (360 nucleotides) under Podarcis lilfordi (Lilford's wall lizard). The record is from RNAcentral. Lineage: Eukaryota; Metazoa; Chordata; Lepidosauria; Squamata; Lacertidae.
CAAUCCCCUUGGCAACCUGCUCCUGCUCCAACUGGGCAGUGGCUGACAGGUAAAGAAUGGGAAGGAAGCGUGCUUCGGUGCAAAAAGGUUAUCAGUCCGGUGCUGUGACAGUCAGCAGAAACCUGCCUUGGUCAGAGGCUAUGCCAGAGACAAAGGGAAGAUAGCCCAGGGGUGAGGAACUAGAGAAUAAGGGAGGCCUGGAGGUGAGGCUUUGUUACCAUGGCUACCAGGAUGCAAACACGGCUGUGCGCAAAGAUGCUGGAAGCAAGGAGCAGCUUCUUAAGAAACCGUUUUUUGGUGUGUGUGGCCUUUUUGGCUGCGUAAUGUGCCUGUUGAAUAAAUAUUUCUCUUUCGCUACAA